UUUUUUAAACUUAAGUUAAUAGCACGAUCCAUUACGCACUUCCACAACCAUAUAGGCGACAAAAAUAAAGAUUAAAACAAAACAAAAAUAAAAUAAAAAAUAGAAAAUAAAAAUUAGUGAAUGCAAACGAAACAGAUAAAUGGAUUCUCAUGUCUAAGCUAAAUUUUAAAUCACCGGCAAAUCACAUCUUCAAAUAAAUAAUAAAAUCUUCUCGAUAUCAAAUUAACUAUGAAACGCGAAAAGACUCCCGAAUCCUAUAGCACCGAAGAGAAUAAAAUUUAAAUCUACUCGCAACACGAAAUCCAACAAAAACAUAGUGCAACUAAACAAAUAAAAUCGCUCAAGCUCAAGAUCAGAUCAUUGCUAGAUUAAUCACAUGACUGUUAAAAGACAAACAUGAGCUACUGUUUCGAUCGAUUUUUGGUCUUUAAGUAUUUAAAGUAAAUAAUAAGUGAUGACCUAAGACAAAUAAUAGAGGAGAAAACAAUAAAAGUGGAACAAAGCAUGUCAAUAAAACUCGAUAAUGGGUUCGGAGAUAGUUCAUACAACAAAACGAAGGAGGCAAGGAUUAGCACCCGAAUCAAAUAGAACAAAUGAAAUACGAUUUGACUGAAAAUAAAGCUACUUAAGAACCCAAAAGAAAAUGCAACCAAACAAAGUUACAAGACUAGAAUAGCAAAUAACUCUUACGGAAGAAAAGAAAAACAAACAGACCUAACAAAUGACCAAGCUCAACCAUCAAAAUUCUCCUACUUAAAGUAGCAUGCAUAUAUACUUGAACGGAUAAAAGUCGAUUAAAAAAAAGGGGAGGGGGGGUGGUAACAAGAAUAAACUACAUUAUAGGAAAUAUGUGACCAACUACUAACAUUAAACAAUGGCAAAUCAAAGGAUGAGAAAGGGAACACGUUUCACUGUAGGCAAAUAAUAUAUCUUAUGCAAUGACCAAGCUAACUCUACAAAUGUAACUUAAUGAUGCUAAUUCAUUAUGCCAAAAGGCAGAAAUUUUAAACACAACAGCUUGCCAAGCCAUUUUAGAAGACAACGUUGUCACAUUCAAAUAACUAAACAUGACAAAGGUGUUAUUAAAUAAGCAACAACCAGCUGUGCUAAAACACAUGUCACACUUCGAGAUUCAAGUUGGACCGAGAAUAUAAUUUUAAGCGAUUGACAUUCCGGACAGCAACCUACUGCUGGUCUUAAUCCUCCUAUUUAGACAAGAAAAGCGAGGGAAAACCAAGUAUAACCUCUCAAGAAGGCUACUAAGGACGAACCUAUAAACAGACACAUAAGCAAGAAAUAAUUUUUUCAAGAAUAAAGUCAUAGAGGAACUAAAACGAAAAUUACUAAUUCAUAAAAAAGGGCAAGAGGGAACAGAUAGUGAUACAAAACAAAGGAACAAAAUCUCAUAUUUUUAGAUAAACAGAAACUAAACCAUUUGGAUGGCCAUCUUAUCCAAACUCAACAAAAUACUGCAGAUAAGAACAUGUACUACGGAUGACCAGAGAAAAAAUAAAAAAUAUAUAUAAAAGAUCAAAGAUCGGACAUGCUCACAAAUAACGCCAAACUAACUCCAACAUAGAAUUAAUUUAUACACAGAUAACACUCAUGUAGGGAGGCAAGUUAUUACCAGCUCAAGACUCAUCAACCGAAACUUGACAUAUAGAGACCAAGACAAAAUCAACACAUAAAUGGAGCGCAAGACACAACCUAUAAUACGUCAUAAGCAGAACAACAUAGGAGAAACUAGAUUUAAAUGAGAACAAGAAAGGAUUUACCUCUUUCUGGUCAGCGAAAUGAGACAAUACGAGCAGACGAGCAGCGAUUCUUCCACCAACUACUUCGGAAACUCGAACGACCAGCCAAGAAUUUCGAGCUGACUUUUAACAAGGAGAACUUGCUUCUUCGAAUUUAAAGGAAAAGAAUCGUCUAAACCUUCUCCGAUAUGAUAUUUCGCUCAAAGUAGUUCCAACUCCAAAUCUUGAAUCCCAAAUUUUCAACUAAAAGUAAAAUCUCAAAAAAUAAAUUUUUCUCCCCCCUUUUACAGUGAACAACAAACAAAUAUAUAUAGAAGGGGAUAACUAGGGUUCCGAAUUUAGGAGGGAAAAGGCCGAAAUCCGGAUAGAAAAUGAGGGCCCAUAUUCGAAAUUCAAACUCCCCAAAUCUUUCACCAUUUGAGAUAAACAUCUUUUUCUGAAUUUUCCGCCCCAUUCCGAAAGAGGAAGGGAAAGAAAACGUGUGUCUGCCCCUCUACUGCUACGAUAUUAAUGGGGAUAAGGACGUUUUGAAGAAGAAACCAAAGGGAAGCAGU
RNAcentral lists this long non-coding RNA (2308 nucleotides) under Solanum tuberosum (potato). RNAcentral describes it as "long non-coding RNA (STUB_LNC002314)". Lineage: Eukaryota; Viridiplantae; Streptophyta; Magnoliopsida; Solanales; Solanaceae. The record is from RNAcentral.